Molecule: long non-coding RNA, 1592 nt
Filed under: Homo sapiens (human)
Lineage: Eukaryota; Metazoa; Chordata; Mammalia; Primates; Hominidae
Description: HSALNT0324610
Source: RNAcentral
GCUGAGGUCGCCGGGUCAGCUUCCCCGGCCCAGUGCCCAGCGGGAUGAAGACGCCGGGCCCCGGGCAUCCCCAGGUUUGGAAUUAGGAUUAGGCGUUGGAGUUAACCGGACUCCGCGGAGUUCCGGGGACCCGGAGACAGCAUGAGUCUCAGCGCGCAGUCAGCAGAGGCGGUCCUGGCGCCAGGGACCCUGAUGUCUGAGGAAGAAGGUUCACAUCCAACUCUGCCCCUGGUGUGUCACGUGCCGGCCUUGUCAACGCACACGAGAACCUGACAGGGUCCCAUGGAAUUCAGACAAGGAAGUAAAGCAAAUGAGAAUGGCCCACAGGGGAGCAGUUCAAAUGCGCAGAAAAAGAUAGAGCAGCCCCAAUGAGGAAGGAAGGCUGGACAAGAAAUGGAUUUGUAGGGAAGACAAUGUGCACCCAUCGGAGCUCUGAUUGCUUUACUUUCACUACCCUCCCCUGCCCACUAACAUCGAAAAAGUAUCAAUGAUUUGUGAACAUGGCAUAUGGCAUACGAACACCCUGAGAGUAGGAUCGUGGGGCAUCCGAUGGUGAUUGUCCUUAGAGUUGGUGGGGGCCCAGCUUCCCGCUGUCUGUGAACUGCUGCGUGCAGAAUCGGUGUCUUCUUUAACUUCACAACGAUGCCACAAGGCAAAUAGCAUUGUCUUCACUUUCUGUGUAAGAAAACUAAGGCUGGGUGAGAGUAUGCAGAGCUGGAUCAUGGAUUUGUUUGGCUCCUUCUAGUUUGAAAACCUAAGUUAAAAGCUGAGAUCGUGAGGAUUUCCAGGGACUCCUGCCACCAGCUCAUCUCACAUCAUCAUUUACAUGGAAAUGUUGGGACUGAGGUGACCUCAUGCCUCUCAAUUCCCAGCCAGCCUUCUCUCCCUCUGGCUCCUAGCCAGCCUGUUAAACAGAAAAAAUAAGUGAGACAAAUAAAAAACACCCUAGUGUUCUAACAAGUUACACAUAAUUGCUUGCUUACCAAUUGUCUACCUCAGAACUUUGUUUUCCUCUUAGAGUCAAUAUAAUCAUUAAAUUCAGCUUCUGCCAUUUUACAGUCUGAGAUGCGGGACUUUGCAUAGGGCAUGGAUGGGUUUCCACAGUCCACACGAGGAUGGGAGGAGAGCAGGGCAGACCCAGCCACACUCAGUGAGAGUUCUGGCUGGAGUUACUUGGCUGGACAUCACUCCAGAGAGAGGAGACCUUCUUCUGGACCAGCUACCAAGACAGCCCCUAGUUGGAAAAUCUUUUCUUCUAAGGUGAGAUGCAGCCCCCACUGGAGAGGAAAACACCAGAGAGUUUUUAAAAAGGAAAAACCAAGGUAAGCUGAGGAGCUUCUUGACAGGAGACACAGCGGAGUCCACGCAACUGGGGUGAAUCUCUGCAGUUCCCCAACAGGACGGCGGGAGGGAGCCCCAAGACACUGGCCCCUGCAGUGUGGGAGCAGUGUGAGCCAUCUGCAGUGACAUUGUCUCCUCUGGCAGCAGCCUCCAUCCCGAAAUCCAUCUCAGGGUCUGUCCUUACAGGAACCUGAUGCCAGAGCUGUGCGCUCAAAGUAUUUGGACACAGGUAUUCUGUGUAACUGAGCAUU